AGCCCCUAGCGCAGACGGCGGAGAGCAGAGAGGGAGCGCGCCUUGGCUCGCUGGCCUUGGCGGCGGCUCCUCAGGAGAGCUGGGGCGCCCACGAGAGGAUCCCUCACCCGGGUCUCUCCUCAGGGAUGACAUCAUCCGUCCACCUCCUUGUCUUCAAGGACCACCUCCUCUCCAUGCUGAGCUGCUGCCAAGGGGCCUGCUGCCCAUCUACACCUCACGAGGGCACUAGGAGCACGGUUUCCUGGAUCCCACCAACAUACAAAGCAGCCACUCACUGACCCCCAGGACCAGGAUGGCAAAGGAUGAAGAGGACCGGAACUGACCAGCCAGCUGUCCCUCUUACCUAAAGACUUAAACCAAUGCCCUAGUGAGGGGGCAUUGGGCAUUAAGCCCUGACCUUUGCUAUGCUCAUACUUUGACUCUAUGAGUACUUUCCUAUAAGUCUUUGCUUGUGUUCACCUGCUAGCAAACUGGAGUGUUUCCCUCCCCAAGGGGGUGUCAGUCUUUGUCGACUGACUCUGUCAUCACCCUUAUGAUGUCCUGAAUGGAAGGAUCCCUUUGGGAAAUUCUCAGGAGGGGGACCUGGGCCAAGGGCUUGGCCAGCAUCCUGCUGGCAACUCCAAGGCCCUGGGUGGGCUUCUGGAAUGAGCAUGCUACUGAAUCACCAAAGGCACGCCCGACCUCUCUGAAGAUCUUCCUAUCCUUUUCUGGGGGAAUGGGGUCGAUGAGAGCAACCUCCUAGGGUUGUUGUGAGAAUUAAAUGAGAUAAAAGAGGCCUCAGGCAGGAUCUGGCAUAGAGGAGGUGAUCAGCAAAUGUUUGUUGAAAAGGUUUGACAGGUCAGUCCCUUCCCACCCCUCUUGCUUGUCUUACUUGUCUUAUUUAUUCUCCAACAGCACUCCAGGCAGCCCUUGUCCACGGGCUCUCCUUGCAUCAGCCAAGCUUCUUGAAAGGCCUGUCUACACUUGCUGUCUUCCUUCCUCACCUCCAAUUUCCUCUUCAACCCACUGCUUCCUGACUCGCUCUACUCCGUGGAAGCACGCUCACAAAGGCACGUGGGCCGUGGCCCGGCUGGGUCGGCUGAAGAACUGCGGAUGGAAGCUGCGGAAGAGGCCCUGAUGGGGCCCACCAUCCCGGACCCAAGUCUUCUUCCUGGCGGGCCUCUCGUCUCCUUCCUGGUUUGGGCGGAAGCCAUCACCUGGAUGCCUACGUGGGAAGGGACCUCGAAUGUGGGACCCCAGCCCCUCUCCAGCUCGAAAUCCCUCCACAGCCACGGGGACACCCUGCACCUAUUCCCACGGGACAGGCUGGACCCAGAGACUCUGGACCCGGGGCCUCCCCUUGAGUAGAGACCCGCCCUCUGACUGAUGGACGCCGCUGACCUGGGGUCAGACCCGUGGGCUGGACCCCUGCCCACCCCGCAGGAACCCUGAGGCCUAGGGGAGCUGUUGAGCCUUCAGUGUCUGCAUGUGGGAAGUGGGCUCCUUCACCUACCUCACAGGGCUGUUGUGAGGGGCGCUGUGAUGCGGUUCCAAAGCACAGGGCUUGGCGCACCCCACUGUGCUCUCAAUAAAUGUGUUUCCUGUCUUAACAA
Molecule: long non-coding RNA, 1592 nt
Filed under: Homo sapiens (human)
Lineage: Eukaryota; Metazoa; Chordata; Mammalia; Primates; Hominidae
Description: non-protein coding lnc-DLK1-35:5
Rfam family: Maternally expressed 3 conserved region 2 (bases 536-640)
Source: RNAcentral